UACGACUACAUAUCAGGCAUAUCAAUAAGCGGAGGAAAAGAAACUAACUAGGACUCCCUCAGUAACGGCGAGUGAAGCGGGAAGAGCUCAAAUUUGAAACCUUCAAGGUUCUACCUUGACGAAUUGUAGUUUAAAGAAGUGUUUUCUGUUGGAGUUUUGGUAAAAGUUCUUUGGAAUAGGACAUCGUAGAGGGUGAGAAUCCCGUAUUUGACCAUUAUUUCCAACUUUGUGAUACACUUUCAAAGAGUCGGAUUGUUUGGGAAUGCAGUCCAAAAUGGGUGGUAAAUUUCAUCUAAAGCUAAAUACUGGCGAGAGACCGAUAGCGAACAAGUACCGUGAGGGAAAGAUGAAAAGAACUUUGAAAAGAGAGUUAAACAGUACGUGAGAUUGUCAAAAGGGAAGCGUUUGACACCAGUGUUGUUUUCUCGAAAAUCAAUUAAAAAUGAGGGGAUUUUGUGUUGUAUUGACUUUAUCAGCUUUCUGCACUUUUUUCUUGUCUUUUUUAAUGCACUUUUCGUUUAACAAGUCAACAUCAAUUUCUUUUGUUGUAAAAGGGUCAUUGGAAGGUGGCUUUCUUUUCGGAGAAAGUGUUUAUAGCCUUUGACUUCUGCAAUCGGAGAGAUUGAGGUCUGCAGCGUAGAUCCUUCGGGGUUAGAUAGCAUUUGUGCUAAGUUAUAGCUUUUCAUAGACAACAUGUUGACUAUGAUUAAGUCAUGUAGCUUACUCGCUUAUGCUAUUUUACCUACGCUUAGGAUGUUGACGCGCGUGUGUGCGUG
RNAcentral lists this ribosomal RNA (776 nucleotides) under uncultured Neocallimastigales. Its description in RNAcentral is "partial large subunit ribosomal RNA". It matches the Rfam family "Eukaryotic large subunit ribosomal RNA", at positions 24 to 639 of the family's 3401-position model. The record is from RNAcentral. Lineage: Eukaryota; Fungi; Neocallimastigomycota; Neocallimastigomycetes; Neocallimastigales.